RNAcentral lists this long non-coding RNA (8284 nucleotides) under Sus scrofa (pig). RNAcentral describes it as "lncRNA (ENSSSCG00005010307.1)". Lineage: Eukaryota; Metazoa; Chordata; Mammalia; Artiodactyla; Suidae. The record is from RNAcentral.
CUCAUUUUUAACAUUCAGGCUGUGGGUCCUGAACAUAUUGCCCAAGGGCAAUAACAAGCCCUGCGACUGGAAAAGGGAAAAGCAGGUCAUCAACUAUUAUCUCACUGAACGUGGGGAGCACACAGGUGUUAGCGUCUCGAAUUUUCAAGAAAUGGAUGCUCGUAAAAGAACACUUAUCCAGAGAGGCAGACGGUUCAGUCAUACUUUACUCUUUUCUGGGAAAAAAAUGUAUACAUUAAGGCUGCUAAACAAAUAAUUGAAAGUAAAGCAAGGAGGGUUUCUCAGGAAUCAACGCUGCAGAGAGCUCACACAGCAAAAAGAACAGGAAAGCGACUGACUGCUAGCUUUCCUUAAUGUAGCACCAAACGGCAAGUCAGUGGAACCCUGUGAUCCUAACCGGUUACGGUCUUCAGUGUGCGUGUGGGAUCCACCUAGAGAGCCUGGUGAAGGGGUAGAUCCCCCCACGCCCCGCCCCACGUUCCGAGUUAGCAGGUUCAAAGUAAGGACUGGGAAUCCCCACUUUUAAUAAGCUCCCCUGCUGAUUUUGAUACAGGUAGUUCUUGGAAGGCAGUCUGACAAACACUCUAAAAGGAUGAAAUAGAACCAAAAUAAGCAAUAAUUUGGCUUUGAAGAAAAAAAAAAAAAAAAAAAAACAGAGGAAGAAAUUCAAAUCGUAAUACAAAAGCAGUCAUUUCCCCCUAGGAUGAGGCGAGAUGACAAGGCUCUUUGAACAUCCUUAAUAUUUACUCACUUGGUGAAUGAAUGAGUAAAUACCCUCAUAGUUAAGUAAUGGUCCCCUUUUAUUGAGUACUUACGUGACUCUCAAUAACUCUGUGAAACAGAAAGAGAAAGAAACAAAGAUGAAACAACCUGCUCCACUGUCACACAAGCAAAACAUUUCAAAGCUAAGUCUACCCUACACCACAGUCCCACCUCCUAACCAUGACGAAGAAUCAAAGACUAAUGAUUUGAGGGCAGUUUUCCUAAGAGGGGAGAGCAUAGCUCCUUCUGUCCUGGAGAACCCAGACCCAAUAAUGGCUCUUUUCACCCUUUAUCUUAAUCAGAAAAAUGCUUCUCACAGGACAGAUGAAGGUAAGUUUUUAACCUUCUGGAUCCUGUAAGGCCCUAAAAACACACUGGGAGGGGUCAUGUGGCCCAUGAACCCCUGGUUGCAUUUUCAAGCCACAGAAAAGAAGAGCAACCGCUGAUGACCAAACAAGUUCACACCAGCACAGUCUGGUGACGGUACCAUGGAAUCCCCGAACUCGACGGUAAGCUCACAGACCCUCGAAGUCCAGACAGAUGCGAGUGGAUCUCUCCCUCUCCCCUCUCGCUGUCUCUGCACAUGCUCUGCUCUGUGCAGGAAAGUACUCCCGGCCGCUCCGGACCAAGUGCAACUCAUCCUCCAGGUUGUAGGACAUUUCUUCUUUUAGGAAGACGUGCGUCAUUCUCAAAGGCUGUGCUGGGUUACGCUACUAGAGUCCCCCAUACUUUGGGGGCACUUAACUGUUUCCUUCAAGAUUCCGUCCCUCCCCCACUAGCCUAUGAGCACCAUGGGGUUGGGAGUACUACGCAUGGCUGUUUUAUGGGUGGGCACAGGCCUGAGCAUGCAUACCGGGCUCCCUGAAGUGGUACAAAGGGCCUGAAAGCAAAGACCAUGACUUGAUUUCUUCUGAAAGCUCAGACCAAUGCAGACCAUUAAAAGAUGCAUCAAAAAAUAAACAAGCAAACCACCCCGCCGCCCAAUAUCUCUUGGUUCCAAGUAUUUCCAUGGAGCCUCAGUGACCAUUCACUUCUCUCCCAACACUGAUUCCAUACUCAACCAAGGCAAGAUCCACACUGAUGUUGCAAAUAAGAGUACAACUCUUACGGGAUGAGAAAGAACUCAAAAAAAUAUACUCCCCCCAAUGCAAUAUGCUCAGGAAAUUGAGAUCAUUUCUGCUUAUAACUCCAAUUUAUAUUAAAAAGUAUAAUGACCCUCUUUAGUGAAAACAUAUUUUCAAACUUGGAACAUCAUUGAAAUUCAAUUGUGUCUGUCAAGGGGGUUGGGAUAGAUUAACUGCUAUAGAACUUUCAAUGAUGUUUAAGAUCCGUGCUUAAAAAAUGUUCUCAGUAACAAAACUCUAAGAACUUCUUCAGAGCUAAAAUGCAAUCUCUUUUUAGGGGUGAAUGUUAAUUAUGAGCAGUGAGAAAUUGAUGUCAGUGACUCUCUUUUUCUGAACAUCCUUCACUAAGUGAAGAAGACAGGAGGGAUCCGCAAACGUGCAGCUGUGAUCUAUGCAGCUGGCAUGACUUACAUGUUUUAAUCAUGCCUCGGUUUCUAGAAGAAAUGCCAUUUUACCUUCCCAGACUAAGAGCAAAACAGCCAAGAAAUAAUACCUGCCACUUCUGUUGAUCUUGUUGGCUGUUGUUAUAGCUUCACAGCACAUGUUAAAGUAAAUGAAUGCGGUUUUGUUUUGUUUUUUCUCCUAAAUGCUACUUGUUAUUUGGAAUACUCUUCUGAAUUCUUUUCAUGUCACGGCCCCAAAUCAGAAAUUCGUCCCUCCUCCCCCAUGUCUGAAUUCUUAAACCUGGAAAUCCAAAGUAAAAUACAGGUAAGUAUGUUGUGUAAAAUAUUAAGAUAUUGCUAAGAAACCGUGCUACACAAUUUCGCAAUGGUCUAAUGGAUGUUAACUAAUUGAGACACAUCACAUAGAGUCAGGCUUGAUUCAAUUAGUUCAAAUAAUUGCAAUUCUUGUUAUUUCUGAAAUUAUCUUCUGCUACAGAUGGGAACAUUUUUAAAUGGGUAGCCAUCUAUCCUUUUAUUCCAUAAGGGUUCACUAUAGUCCUCGCAAUAAGUUUAAUGUAACUGUCUUUAAAGGGUAAUUUCAUCUAUAUUCUGCUGUCUUUUCAUUUGCACCAUUAUUUUAAUUAGCAGGUCAUUCAUCAUUUUACUAGAGCUUUUUUUUUUUUUUGUAUUUGAGGGAGCUACUGUCACCUUCAUAGUAUAUGUAUUUAGAAUUUAAAAAUAAUUCGCACCAUUCCAAUUACAUACUUUGGAUACUUUUCUAUUUCUUCCAAUAUCCAACUUUGCUAUUGUCUUUGCAAAGGCAGAAAAGAAAGUAGCAUAUUCUAUGAUUAGUGUGUUACCUUAAUAAUUUUUUUUUUUUUUUUUUGGUCUUUUUAGGGCCACAUCCAUGGCAUAUGGAGGUUUCCAGGCUAGAGGUUGAAAUUGGAGCUGCAGCUGCCGGCCUACGUCACGGCAAUGCCAGAUCCUAGCCACAUCUGUGACCUACACCACCGCUCAUCACAAUGCUGGAUCCUUAACCCACUGAGCAAGGCCAGGGAUCAAACCUGUGUCCUCAUGGAUGCUAGCCAGAUUCGUUUCCCCUGAGCCACGAUGGGAACUCCAGACCUUAACAGUUUAAGUGUAAGCAAUCUUUGCCCAAGUCUUCCAUGCUUCAAUAUAGGAGCAAUAUAUCCUAUUACUUUACCACGAAUGAGCCCUGAGAGACAGGCAAAGAGGGAAGAGCUGCUGGGCCCAGUACAGAGAAAAGGGGUAGAUACUCCAUACUUCACCCCUCCCCCAACAGCUCCCAAAUGGUGAGGCCUCUCAGAUCAUCUAAAAAUGAUAAUCCAUUUAACUAUCCAUUUUCAGCAUCUAUGAUAAUAACCUCUACAAACAUCAUUCAGCGAGACCUCAUGUUUCAAGUGCAAUUCUAAGUAACUCUGGUACAUCUGCUCCUCUUCUAACAAUCCCACUAAGCCAAUGGCUUUAUUCCUAUUUUACAGAUGAAGAAACUGAGACUUAGGGAAGUUCAGUAACUGAAAUGGGAACAGCACUUAGAUGGUGUGACUCCAACACCUGAAUCUCAGCAGUAUUUCUGCCUUCAGGGCUAAACUCACCCACAGCUCUCAGAAUUCUAAUGAGCUGAAGGCACUCUUUUAAAUUCCUACUGAGGCAGAGUCUUUCAUGCAGAAUUGAUUUUUAUAAACCCUCAUUCACGCAUGCACAGAACCAGUGCUGAGAUCACCUGGCGUACUACUCGAUUUCUCAUUAACAAACAACUCCAUACAUCAGAAACCCUAUUUUAUGAGUCCCAAAGCGGGGGGAGGGAAACACAUGUCAUCUAUGAGGAAACUCAGGCCUUCCUGGGACGGCCUGUAUCUUGCCCAACCAGGUUUCUUAAUUACCUCCGAGUGGAACACGAAUCCCUCCAGCCCUCAAUUCCCCGCUGUCCCAGGCACUCUGAAGCCUUUCUCCCACCUCCCACCCUUUCUCCCAAUAGAGAGCUCCCCACGCUUACAUAGUUCUAGUUUGCUAACUUCCAAUGCUGUGCACUUCAGAAAUAGGGACGCUGUCUGGAGAGUGGCAACAGAAAAAUAUUCAUCAAGCUGGGCUUCCUUAUUCUUACCUGUCAAAAGAGGGGGAAAUGGAGGCAGGCAGGGAGAAAAGUCAGCUCAAAGUAUCUGCUGAACUUUGGAGAGUUUACAAGGGGUGAGGGGAUGUUCGCAGAGCUCGAGACCUGGGGUGGGGGUGGGGGUGGGGAGGAGAUUGGAAAGGUUAGCCUGUUGACCUGCUAGAGGGAAGCAGAAGUUCUAGAAGGUAAAGGAAGGAGUGAGUUGUGUUCCAACAGAAAACUGUGCAAAAACAGCACAGAGCAGUCUUGUAUACCCUCUGAAAAACGACUCCGACACAAUUUCACAAAUGAAAGGGUGUGUUGGUACCGUGGGUGUUUUCAGCUGUGAUGGGCACAGCUGAUCCUGGUAAAGUGCGCAGAGGCCUGCCUUGGCCUUUAGGGGAAAAAAAACUUCUAAAAGCUGAGUUAUGGUUUUGGAUUCCAAACCAAUUCUGUGUUAAUAGAGAAGCUGAAAAUCUAUCUACCAACAAACGUAAAACGUUAUUAGUAAUAUUAAUAAUGUCUUCCUUCCUCUGUGCAGUUUCAUUAGAAGACACCCUCAGGCCCAUCCAAACCUACAAGAAAUGCUCCAUACAGCUGCUCCACUGUGGGUGCAAGUAUGUAACUUCGGGUUUCACAACCCUUAAAGGACACAAUCUCAUUUGUUUGCUCACGUUGCUCUCUUGCUAAAAUUUACCCUGAUUAGAAAACAAUAAGCAAUAACAUUAUUAUUAUAUAUUAAAUUAUUACUGUUAUAAUAAAUGACGUCAUUAUUUAUAGUUUUAAAUUUGUCAAAUGUGUUUGCCCUGGAGAUUUGUAGUCUUAGGUUUUUCUUCUUACCAACUAGGAAAAGCGGGGUUAAAACUCAAGUCCAAAAAAGGUCCACUUUCAUAGAGUGCCUGGCCUGUGAGUGUUUAGGACAAUGCCGCAAAAGCAAUUUUUAUUUUUAGAUCUGUAAGUAAAAAUGGCUAUUAUGAAUGAGAGCUUGGAGAAUGGAGAAACAGUCAAAAUUCCAUUAAAAAAGGAAAACCAGCCAAUUGCUCUGAGGCCGACAGACAAUGAGGCACCAAAGGCCAUUGGUCCCCGGGCUGCUUUUCCCUCAGCAGGUGCCACCCUGUCUCCACUUCUCUCUUACCAUGUCUCCUCCUUGAAUCCUGUCUCACUCUCCCCCCCUGUUUCUCCUUCUCUCUGGAUCCAUGACACUCUUUUCCUUCUUCUUUAAUUCUCCUUUGUCACUCUCGACUCCUUUCCUUUGCCCGGUUCCCUCUAAGUGGCUUAAAUAAAACUGAGAGCUUUGGGGUUCUUUAACAACAAUGGUUGUGUUCAUUAGAAACGCAUUAUAAUCUCUAUAUUAUGUUAAAGACAAAUUAAAUAGCCUAUAUUUCCCUAAGAACAAAAAGAGAGAGAGAGAGAGAGAGAAUGAGAGGGAGAGAAAACUGAAUUUACCAGUAUGUAGCCUUAAAUUUCUUUGGGGGUCAUCAAAAGAAAAAAUUCCCCACCAUGUCCCACCUCAUUAAAAAUAUGCUGCACCUCUAGGCUGCUGGUAAAAGUAAUCACCAUUGACUUUUUCCCCACACAUACGCAUCUCACAAAACAUAUCCUCCUAUCAUAAGUACUUAUACGGGUAGCUUUUCAUGUGCACUGAGUUAAGUACUGUGGGAUGUUAUGAGGGAAUGGCAGUUAUAAACCAUCAACAGCAUAGCCAAAUUACCUGGAAAAGGAAACCAACCAGCUUUUCUGUUUAUCUCUAAGCUAAUAAUGCACAUCAAUCUACCAAACAGUAUCUGCCUCCUAGAGUUUCCGGGUUUCAACGUGAGGUCCUUGAGGGCAAUUCUGGUAUCAGAGCGAAGUCCUCAGAGUAAUAUUUAAAAUCAUCCUAUUCAGUGAACAAACAAUCUGUAUCUUCAUAUUAUGGUUUAAUGCUAUGAGGCUAAUUCAUACUACAAGUGAUCCAAAGCCUAUUCCUAUUAGAGUCAACAAUCCUUUUCUUAUGAUAAUACCAUAAUUUUUCGGCUUAAUGAAUCAUGAUGUUUUUCUGAAAAUGUUCAAUUCAAAACAAACACGGGAUCUGUCGUGCUAAGAGACUAUGGAGGUUUAAGUUUUUUAAAUCAUUUUGUUUUGCUUUUUAAUUUUUGGAAGCUACGUCCUCCGUUUCCUCUGUAUGUAUUCGAGUUUGAAGGAAAAGUUCCUGCCUCAGUUCAGAGUUUUGAUCUUCUUGGCUAUGAUGUCUUCCUUGGCCCACACUCUAAUGAGACGAAGUCUCCACGCAGGCUGUCAAUCAUCUACAUCAAAUGCUGAGCGUGAGGAGAAAGUGACUUUUUAUUACAGAACUCCUAGCUCCUCUUUGGGGAGAAAAAGGGGGAACUGCGGUGCACAACUUCUUUCAGUGUUUCUUCUUUCGCACACGGUUGAGUACUUAGGACAUACUCAAAGGAACUUUUAUCAUCGUAAUAAUUAAAUCAGCAAAGAAACUCCCUGCCCCCCACUUUCUUCCCUUUCUUUGGGGAUAUGUAAGAAAUGUCCACUCCAGAAAUGAAACUGACCAAUCUCAAUACCGAGAAAGUUUUAUGUACAAGCUAAAAUGAAAAACUUCUUUCGACUGUAGGAUAAAAUAACAUAGAAAAUAAAAAUAUGGCUCCUGGCUUUUCUCCCUCUUUGAAUUUCUUCUACCACAGUUAUUUUACAGAUUUGAGUUAACGUCCCCACCCCCAAAACAGUAAAUACCCAGCAGGGUAGGUUAUUAAUUAUAUUUAUGGUAAGAAUACGCUUUCCAGUCUGGGCUCUACCACCAUAUGAGGAGUCUGCCAGAAUUAUUAGUAUAAAAUCUUAAUAUAAGACUCACUUCCCUGUUCCAAGGCAUAAUUACUGUAGUAAGGGACCUUGAAAUGGCCACUCCAUUAGCUUUAAGUGGUGCUAAUUAGGAUUUAUCAUUUCCAUCCUAUGAAACACAGACGCAAAUGUGAACCCCAUAAAGUUUUGGCUCUUUCUAUAAGAAAAUACCAAUCUGAAGAUUAAAAAUAUGACUAAGUAGCCUUAAAGGGCAUGAUUUUCAUUCGAGAAAGGAAAUAAGCAGCCCCAAGUUGCUGCCAAUGGGAAGAACAACUGAGUUUAAAGCUCCAUUCCGCAAAUUAAAUUCUGGCUGCAUUUUAACAUCGAGCCUUUUUUUUUCCCUCCACAGUGCCAGAAAUACAUUCCAGAGCCAAUGUUCUCAAAGUGAAAACAUACAGUAUUUAGACAAGCAGUAAUUCGCUAGUAAUGUUUCCACAUAAUCAUUUCACACACGAUUGCUAAUCAUGCCAUGUGAGGGAAAGCUCUAAACUCGGGAACAUACACUGGCCGUAAAAUUAAAUGAUCAAAGUGAUAAAUCAAAGAGUGUGUUCUAAGAUCAAAGUGAUAAAGUGGUUCAGAGUAUUAAUAAAGUUCCUUUGGGAUACUUACAAAAGGGGAGAAAUUCAGAACAUAACCAAAUCUUAGAAAUAUAAACAAUUCCUUUCUCUUAUCUCUGAAAUGUUUAGCUAAAACUAUCUUUUUUUCCCCAAAGUAGUGAUAGAAUAUUCAGUUGUUUCUCAUUGAGUCACUUACCAUGAUAACUUCUAAGGACUAAAGGCCUUAAGAAAUUAUUUACUGGGGUCUAUUCCAAUAGUUUCCCCAUCAAACGACAUACUCCACCGUAACACACUCUCAAGCCACUAAAGGGUCAAAAGGGAGAGGUAUGGGCUACACCAGAGCUUCUGAGGGCGUCCUCUUGCUGAGAAGCAAGGCAUGGCAUUCUAGACAACUCCAUCUGCCUCCUCUUGCUCAAAUGGAGAGACACAGAAGGGGGUGACUGCAAGCAUCAGUGAGGGUUACAAGAAAAACACUGAGAGAAGGCAUCCCCCCACCCCACCCCCGCCCCUCCCUGUCUU